AUGAGACUGGAAUACAGAAAAACAAUUAAAGACAAUACUGUAAGCAGAGUCCUCUUGGUUUGUGGGAAAUACGGCAAGCCAAAAACAAACAAGGAGGAGACAAAGGAUGUGCAGGACCCAAAAGGCAUCGUGAAGAAGAGGAAAAGAGGGAAGGUUGUGAGGUUGGGAUGUCCGGCCCACCUUUACAUCACCCACACAGAUGCGUGGUGGAGAGUCAAACGCUUCAAUGACGACCACAACCACCCUCUAAUAAGAAAGCCGUCCUUGACAAAGUUCCUAUCAACACAUAGGAACAUUCCAAAAGAUGAGCAGGACUUCUUGAAGAUAUUGCACAGAUGCAACAUAGAGACAGCAAGACAGAUGCAACUAAUGCAAUGGUUCUACGGGAAUCCUAAAGAUGUACCAUACACAACAAAGGACAUCGCAAACCAGCGAGCUAAAUUCCGGAUGGAGUACCGCCAUGCUGAUGUGGGGAGCACAAUCUCGUACUUCCAAGAUAUGAAGGCACAAGAUCCAGAUUUCUAUUGGAGAAUAAAGCUUGAUGAUGAGGACAGAGUGGAAAAUUUAUUCUGGAUAGAUGGUGCGUCGUGCAGGGCAUAUGCUAGAUACAAUGAUGUCAUCUCAUUUGACACAACAUACAUGACAAACAUGUACAAAAUGCCCUGUUCAAUCCAAUUUGGUUGUGGGUUUGUUCGAAACGAACUAUCUGGUAACUUUGUGUGGCUGUUUAAUGCAUUCUUGCAUGCAAUGUGUGGAAUUGCGCCCAAGAAGAUAAUAGCAGAUCAAGAUUUUGCAAUGAGGAGUGCUAUUGAUGAGGUGUUCAUCGGGAUAGUACACAGGAAUUGCCGCUGGCAUAUAAUGAAAAAAGCACAAGAGAAGCUUGGGAAGCUGAUGGCUGACAAUGAGCCACUAAACAAUGCAUUAAAGGAUUGUGUUGAUAACAGCCUGGCUGUUGAGGAGUUUGAGCACAAGUGGUGGGUGAUGAUGGAAGUGUAUGGCCAGACUGACAACGAGCAUUUCCAAUGGCUGUGGGAGAACAGGAAGUGUUGGGUCCCAGUAUACUAUAUGCAUGAUUUUUUCCCGUUCUUGCAGACCACGGCAAGAAGCGAGGGUUUUAACUCUGUGCUCAAGAAGUAUGUCAACCCAAACAACUCACUGGUCGAAUUCGCACAAUAGUACACUGCGAUACAGGAUAAGGUGAUGGCUAGCGUGUCAAAAGAGCAGUUGGAAACAGUGUACAAAGAAACCAAAAUGUACUUGAUGAACCCGCUGGAGAUGCAAGUACGGGGGCUGUACACACAUAACUUGUUUUGCAAGUUCCAGGUGGAGAUGAAGGUGAAAUCAGCAUACAGAUGCGACACAUUGGAUGAUGGUACUUUCAAGGUCAGCUCAGUGCAUGGGAUAAUACCAAAAUAUGGAGACAGGGACUACCAUGUGCAAGCAAACAUGGAUGAAGAGACAUACUCGUGUAGUUGCUGCAAGUUUGAUCGUGACGGGCUACUGUGCGCGCACGUACUACAAGUUAUGGACCAAAUUGGGGUAUACGAGAUACCUGAAAAGUACAUCCUAAAGAGGUGGACCUGGGAUCCAGGGGAGGAUCUUAUUCAACCUGAUUUCGAAUAGCCGACAAUUAAGAAGUCGAUGCCAGAGGAGGGGAAAAGCGUCAUGCGAUACACAUCAAUUCUUAAAGAAUUUAAGCCAUCGGCCAAAGAUGCUUGCCUAACAGAUGACGGGACCAGAUUGGCAAGAAAACACCUGUAUAAUUUCAAGGAGGAGCUUGAAACCCUGAAGAACAAUCAACUUAAAAAGCAAGAAAGGAAAAAGAAGAAGCAAAAGGAUCAUUUCAAGGACAGCCGGAUCCCUGCUCGAUACCUGUGGGGCGGAUGA
RNAcentral lists this ribosomal RNA (1887 nucleotides) under Triticum aestivum (bread wheat). RNAcentral's name for it is "partial small subunit ribosomal RNA". Lineage: Eukaryota; Viridiplantae; Streptophyta; Magnoliopsida; Poales; Poaceae. The record is from RNAcentral.